Leptidea sinapis is the source of this 1015-nucleotide long non-coding RNA. RefSeq lists it as uncharacterized. The transcript has 2 exons. The record is from RefSeq and is a predicted model, not a curated record. NCBI's taxonomy places the organism in Eukaryota, Metazoa, Arthropoda, Insecta, Lepidoptera, Pieridae.
UUUAACACAUUCAAUGCCACCACGAUUUUCUAAUACUUCCCAGCGAUGCCGCCCUAUAAAAAACGCAAACAUGCUAGGUGUGCUCGCGGCACUGCAGGAUGGAAUUACGUAGCACGCUAGGCGUGUUCACCGGCACUGUUAAGAGGUAAAAUCAAAGAAAGCGUUAUUUCGGCUUCAACCGUGUUUAUUGAUCAGUCUUUCUCGAGUUACUGAAGAGAUAUUUUGUUUUUAGCAGUGUUUGUGCUUUUGAAAGUUAAAUUAUGGCAGUUAGUAGAUUCCAAGGUAAGUAUUUAUCGUAAUUUGAUCAGUGAAUUUCAACCUUUGGUUACUUAUUUAUGAUUUUUUAGGGAAAACAAAAUAUGUGCAAGAAACAGUGGAAUAUGAUGAUGAUGCGACGCAAGCAGAUAGCCCACCCUCACAAAAACGCCCAAAAGUAGGAGAAUACAUCGCGAACGCAUCAAGCUCACCGAACUCAUCGCAAGAUAUAUUUACAGAACUACAAGAUGUACCUUACUCCCAAAAAUGGACAUAUUCGCAACAAAUGGAUGAAUAUGACAAAAAGGAUGUAAACACCAUGACUGACGGAAGACCAACAAUUACUAAAUAUAAAGAAAUUGGUACCAUGACUGAACCAGGGUUGACUUGUAACAACAAUACUAAUAUUGAAAUUCGAUGCAAUGAAUAUUUCGGAAGUGUUGUAGCAUGCGAGCUAGCAAAUUAUCACGGUCGCGUUCGUUACGAUAAAAUGAAAGCUAUCAUUGAUAUUUUUAAAGAAAAGUGAGAAAUUAGUUGCCUUGAUUGUUUAAAAGGUUUCUAUGAUUCUCUUGAGGAAAGAAAUUGAGUUCCUAAGGGUUGUGAUUUCAAUUGAAAUAAUAAUAGUGAUUUGAGAAAUCAACGUCUUUAUUAAAGCACUUAUUGUGUGUACAAUAUUAUAGUUACUACUUAUGUUAAAGAUAAAUGUUAAAAAAUCAACGUAAUUAGACCAACAAUAUUAUACAAUAAUUAUCAAUAGAAA